AACAUGGUUGUCCAUGCUUCAGUCAUGCCUAUCCAAGAAGUCUUCAUAAAAGGCCCAAGAGGACAGGGUUCAGGAAGUUUUGGAGACCUGAACACAUGGAGGCUGACAGGAAGGCUGGAGUGCAAUGGCGCGAUCUUGGCUCACCGCAACCUCUGCCUCCCGGGUUCAAGCGAUUCUCCUGCCUCAGCCUCCGAGUAGCUGGGAUUACAGGUUGCUGGCAGAGGUGGUUGGGGCUAUGUGCCUGGAGUGAAGAUUCUGCCCAUUGGUCAAGAGACCUCCCUCUCAGAUGCUGGCUCUGCCCCUGCCUUUGGGGGUCGACCCUUGUACU
Molecule: non-coding RNA, 328 nt
Filed under: Pongo abelii (Sumatran orangutan)
Lineage: Eukaryota; Metazoa; Chordata; Mammalia; Primates; Hominidae
Source: RNAcentral